UACAGAGGGUGCAAGCGUUAAUCGGAAUUACUGGGCGUAAAGCGUGCGUAGACGGUAGCGUAAGUCGGGUGUGAAAGCCCCGGGCUCAACCUGGGAAUUGCAUUCGAGACUGCUCUGCUAGGGUGCGGAAGAGGGAAGCGGAAUUUCCGAGUGUAGCGGUGAAAUGCGUAGAUAUCGGAAGGAACACCAGUGGCGAAAGCGGCUUCCUGGUCCAGCACCGACGUUCAGGCACGAAGCGUGGGAGCAAACAGG
This 252-nucleotide ribosomal RNA is filed under the name uncultured bacterium. RNAcentral's name for it is "partial 16S ribosomal RNA". It matches the Rfam family "Bacterial small subunit ribosomal RNA", at positions 524 to 776 of the family's 1533-position model. The record is from RNAcentral.